UGGGGAAUAUUGGACAAUGGGCGCAAGCCUGAUCCAGCCAUGCCGCGUGAACGAUGAAGGCCUUAGGGUUGUAAAGUUCUUUUGUCAGGGAAGAUAAUGACGGUACCUGAAGAAUAAGCACCGGCUAACUUCGUGCCAGCAGCCGCGGUAAUACGAAGGGUGCUAGCGUUGUUCGGAAUCACUGGGCGUAAAGCGCGCGUAGGCGGCGAUAUAAGUCAGAGGUGAAAGCCUGGAGCUCAACUCCAGAACUGCCUUUGAAACUAUAUUGCUAGAGUGUCGGAGGGGAUAGCGGAAUUGCUAAUGUAGAGGUGAAAUUCGUAGAUAUUAGCAGGAACACCGGUGGCGAAGGCGGCUAUCUGGACGGCAACUGACGCUGAGGCGCGAAAGCGUGGGGAUCAAACAGGAUUAGAUACCCGAGUAGUCCCUGAGCGGGCUGGCAAGGCGCAU
Molecule: ribosomal RNA, 447 nt
Filed under: uncultured bacterium
Lineage: Bacteria
Description: bacterial SSU rRNA
Rfam family: Bacterial small subunit ribosomal RNA
Source: RNAcentral